AGAGUUUGAUCCUGGCUCAGGACGAACGCUGGCGGCGUGCUUAACACAUGCAAGUCGAACGGAAAGGCCCUUCGGGGUACUCGAGUGGCGAACGGGUGAGUAACACGUGGGUGAUCUGCCCUGCACUCUGGGAUAAGCCUGGGAAACUGGGUCUAAUACCGGAUAGGACCACACACUUCAUGGUGAGUGGUGCAAAGCUUUUGCGGUGUGGGAUGAGCCCGCGGCCUAUCAGCUUGUUGGUGGGGUAAUAGCCCACCAAGGCGACGACGGGUAGCCGGCCUGAGAGGGUGACCGGCCACACUGGGACUGAGAUACGGCCCAGACUCCUACGGGAGGCAGCAGUGGGGAAUAUUGCACAAUGGGCGCAAGCCUGAUGCAGCGACGCCGCGUGAGGGAUGACGGCCUUCGGGUUGUAAACCUCUUUCAGCACAGACGAAGCGCAAGUGACGGUAUGUGCAGAAGAAGGACCGGCCAACUACGUGCCAGCAGCCGCGGUAAUACGUAGGGUCCGAGCGUUGUCCGGAAUUACUGGGCGUAAAGAGCUCGUAGGUGGUUUGUCGCGUUGUUCGUGAAAACUCACAGCUUAACUGUGGGCGUGCGGGCGAUACGGGCAGACUUGAGUACUGCAGGGGAGACUGGAAUUCCUGGUGUAGCGGUGGAAUGCGCAGAUAUCAGGAGGAACACCGGUGGCGAAGGCGGGUCUCUGGGCAGUAACUGACGCUGAGGAGCGAAAGCGUGGGGAGCGAACAGGAUUAGAUACCCUGGUAGUCC
This 771-nucleotide ribosomal RNA is filed under the name uncultured bacterium. RNAcentral's name for it is "bacterial SSU rRNA". It matches the Rfam family "Bacterial small subunit ribosomal RNA", at positions 8 to 796 of the family's 1533-position model. The record is from RNAcentral.